UACGUAGGGACCGAGCGUUGUCCGGAAUCAUUGGGCGUAAAGAGCGUGUAGGCGGCCAACUAAGUCCUGCGUGAAAUCUCGGGGCUCAACCCCGAGCGGUCGUGGGAAACUGGUUGGCUAGAGUGCGGGAGAGGAGAGUGGAAUUCCCGGUGUAGCGGUGAAAUGCGCAGAUAUCAGGAAGAACACCCGUGGCGAAGGCGGCUCUCUGGAACGCAACUGACGCUGAGACGCGAAAGCGUGGGGAGCAAACAGG
This 253-nucleotide ribosomal RNA is filed under the name uncultured bacterium. RNAcentral's name for it is "partial 16S ribosomal RNA". It matches the Rfam family "Bacterial small subunit ribosomal RNA", at positions 524 to 776 of the family's 1533-position model. The record is from RNAcentral.